Molecule: ribosomal RNA, 362 nt
Filed under: uncultured Latescibacterota bacterium
Lineage: Bacteria; Pseudomonadati; Candidatus Latescibacterota
Description: bacterial SSU rRNA
Rfam family: Bacterial small subunit ribosomal RNA
Source: RNAcentral
UUCGGAGGCACCUGCACAGGUGCUGCAUGGCUGUCGUCAGCUCGUGUCGUGAGAUGUUGGGUUAAGUCCGCAACGAGCGCAACCCUUAUCCCUAGUUGCCAUCAGGUAAAGCUGGGAACUCUGGGAGACUGCCGGUGAUAAACCGGAGGAAGGCGGGGAUGACGUCAAGUCCUCAUGGCCCUUACAUCCCGGGCUACACACGUGCUACAAUGGCAGGUACAGAGGGCUGCGAAGCCGCGAGGUGGAGCGAAUCCCAGAAAACCUGUCUCAGUCCGGAUUGAAGUCUGCAACUCGACUUCAUGAAGGCGGAAUCGCUAGUAACCGCGAAUCAGCAGGCCGCGGUGAAUACGUUCCCGGGCCUU